CCUACGGGAGGCAGCAGUGGGGAAUAUUGCACAAUGGGGGAAACCCUGAUGCAGCAACGCCGCGUGAGUGAUGACGGCCUUCGGGUUGUAAAGCUCUGUCUUCAGGGACGAUAAUGACGGUACCUGAGGAGGAAGCCACGGCUAACUACGUGCCAGCAGCCGCGGUAAUACGUAGGUGGCGGGCGUUGUCCGGUAUUACUGGGCGUAAAGGGAGCGUAGGCGGACUUUUAAGUGCAGUGUGAAAUCCUCGGGCUCAAAUUGAGUGUUGCAUUUCAAACUGGAAGUCUAGAGUGCAGGAGAGGAGAAUGGAAUGCCUAGUGUAGCGGUGAAAUGCGUAGAGAUUAGGAAGAACACCAGUGGCGAAGGCG
RNAcentral lists this ribosomal RNA (368 nucleotides) under uncultured bacterium. RNAcentral's name for it is "partial 16S ribosomal RNA". It matches the Rfam family "Bacterial small subunit ribosomal RNA", at positions 338 to 723 of the family's 1533-position model. The record is from RNAcentral.